UUUAGUCUUUUUUUGAGCACUUAGCCUUUCUCUUUUAUAUUGGAGGCUCCCUCCCCCCUCAAACCACUUUCCUCUACAAGAGAAAAGAAGAAAGACAGAAGGCCUUUGAUGGGAGAAGAGGAGGAGGAGGAGAAGAAGGAGCAGCUGCCUGCCGGGUUUUUACACUGCCAAGUACUAGAGGAGGCAUCCAAAGGGAUCGCAUUGAUCCUUUAUUUUCAACCCUUUCUUCUUUCUCACAAUUUUGGAUCAUGCUAUCCCUUUGGAUUCCUCCUUUGGUUAGCUUUCAAAGAUAUAAGAACAUGGUGGUGCACUCUUUCGCUUUCCCCAUGCAUUGAACAAGAAGAGAAUCCGAUGAUGACUCGACCAUAUGAAACUCAUCAGAGAAGACGAAGAACAAUGCAAAAAAAAAACAUGUACCAAAAUCAGCAACAUGAAAGUGAGAUGAUGAUAACCCUGUCAGGAUCUUCCACAGAUUUGCAUCUCUAGGACCCCAAAACAUGCAGGCUUAGAAGGAUCUUGUUUCCUCAUCAUGUUCUUUUUAGAAUCCCCUGGGUUCAUCAGAACAUGUAAUCUGAGGCAAAUUGAUUAAGGUUUGGUUGAGUGAAUAUAUGUUUUGUCUCUUGGAAGAAGGCAUGGCCCCUGUCCAUAUGAAUUAAUCAUCAUUUUUUACAGUCAUUAUGAAUAAAACAGUGCCUGAAAUCAAAGACAAUAACUUGUACA
This is a long non-coding RNA of Theobroma cacao (cacao), 720 nucleotides long. RefSeq lists it as uncharacterized. Lineage: Eukaryota; Viridiplantae; Streptophyta; Magnoliopsida; Malvales; Malvaceae. The record is from RefSeq and is a predicted model, not a curated record.